Molecule: microRNA, 22 nt
Filed under: Caenorhabditis elegans
Lineage: Eukaryota; Metazoa; Nematoda; Chromadorea; Rhabditida; Rhabditidae
Description: cel-miR-789-2-5p
Gene: cel-miR-789-2-5p
Source: miRBase by way of RNAcentral
AAUUGAUGACUCAGGCAGGGAC